Molecule: ribosomal RNA, 119 nt
Filed under: Pteropus alecto (black flying fox)
Lineage: Eukaryota; Metazoa; Chordata; Mammalia; Chiroptera; Pteropodidae
Source: RNAcentral
GUCUACCGCCAUGCCACCCUGAACAAGCCCAAUCCUGUCUGAUCUCGGAAGCCCAGCAGGAUCUGGCCUGGUUAGUACUUGGAUGGGAGACCACCAAGGAAGACCAGGUGCUGUAGGCA